CCUAGUUGAUCCUACUAGUAGUCAUAUGCUUGUCUCAAAGAUUAUGCAAUACAUGUGUAAGUAUGAACUAAUUUAGAGUAUGAAACUGCGAAUGGCUCAUUAAAUCAAUUAUAGUUUGUUUGAUUGUAUCUACUACUUAAAUAACUAUAGUAACUGCAGAGCUAAUACCUGUAACAAGCCAUGACUUCUGAAAGGGAUGGAUUUAUUAGAUAAAAGGUUGAUGUGAGCUUAGCUCAUUGCUUUGAUGAUUAUGAUUCAUGAUAACUCGACAAAUCAUAUAGCUUUUGUGCUGGUGAUGCAUAAUUCAAAUUUUUACCCUAUCAACUUUUGAUGGUAAGAUAGUGGCCAAUUAUGGUGGUGAUAAGUGAUAAAGAAUUAGGGUUUGAUUCUAGAGAAGGAGUCUAAAAAACGGCUACCACAUUAAAGGAAGGUAGCAAGCACACAAAUUACCUAAUCUUGAUACAAGGAGGUAGUGACAAUAAAUAACAAUAUCAAGCUUUAUGAGUCUAGUAAUUAGAAUGAGUGCACAAUCUAAAUCCCUUAACAAGGAUCCAUUAGAGGGCAAGUCUGGUGCUAGCAUUUGUAAUAAUUCUAGCUCCAAUAGCAUAUAUUUAAGUUAUCAUAGUUAAAAAACUCGUAGUUGAAACUUGAAUUACGUCAUCUGAUCACCUCAUGGUAAGCAUCAGACUACUUGUCUCUUCUGCCAAUGAUAUGCUCCUAACCUUAACUAGUCGGGUUGGCACCAUUAUUUUGAAAAAAUUAGAGUGCUCUAAGCUGACCUAUGCUUGUAUACAUUAGCAUGGGAUAACAUCAUAGGAUCUUAGUCUAUUUUGUUAGCCUUUGGGAUCAGAGUAAUGAUUAACAGGGAUAGUCAGGGGCAUUUGUAUUUCAUAGUCAGAAGUGAAAGACAAACAAUUGUGAAAGAUUUAUUAAAGAUGUUUUCAUUAAUCAAGAAUGAAAGUUGGGGGCUCAAAGAUGAUCAGAUACUAUCCUAGUCUCAACCAUAAAUGAUGCCAACCAAGGAUCGACGGAUGUUGCUUUUAGGACUCUAUCAGCACCUUAUGAGAAAUCAAAGUCUUUGGGUUCUAAGGGGUGUAUGGUCGCAAGGCUAAAACUUAAAGGAAUUGAAGGAAAUGCACCACCAAUAGUGGAGCCUGCGACUUAAUUUGACUUAAAAUGGGGAAACUUACCAAAUCCAAACAUAGUAAGGAUUGACAAACUAAAGACUCUUUCUUGAUUCUAUGGAUGGUGGUACAUGGCUAUUCUUAGUUGGUGGAACGAUUGGUCUAGUUAAUCCCAUUAACGAAUGAGACCUCAACCUAUUAACUAGCUACACGGAGGUGAUCCUUCGUGCUAGCCUUUUAUAGGGACUAUGGCCACUUAGGCCAAGUUUAAGGCCAUAAUAGGUCAGUGAUGCCCUUAGAUGUUUUGGUUACAUGCACGCUACACCAAUAUAUCCAACAAGUCUAUAGCCUUGGCCGACAAGCUCGAGUAAUCUCUAAAAUUUCAUCAUGAUAGGGAUAGAUGAUUGUAAUUAUUGGUGUACAACAAGGAAUUCCUAGCAAAUGUGAGUCAUCAGCUCUGGUUGACUAUGCCUUUGCCUUUUUUACUCACUACCUGUCGCUCUUACAGAUUAUAUGGUUUGGUGAAAUGUUUAGAUCAUAGUGAUGUGGAUGGUUUGCUGCCCGUAACAUCAAGAGAAGUCCAUUGAACCUUAUCAUUUAGAAGAAAGAAAAGUCGUACCAAGGUUUACGUAGGUGAACUUGUAGAAG
This 1772-nucleotide ribosomal RNA is filed under the name Durio zibethinus. Its description in RNAcentral is "SSU rRNA". It matches the Rfam family "Eukaryotic small subunit ribosomal RNA". The record is from RNAcentral. Lineage: Eukaryota; Viridiplantae; Streptophyta; Magnoliopsida; Malvales; Malvaceae.